UGGGGAAUUGUUCGCAAUGGGCGCAAGCCUGACGACGCAACGCCGCGUGGAGGACGAAGAUCUUCGGGUCGUAAACUCCUGUCGAGCGGGAAGAAGAGCCCGUGGGUGAAUAUCCCGCGGGAUUGACGGUACCGCUAAAGGAAGCCCCGGCUAACUCCGUGCCAGCAGCCGCGGUAAUACGGGGGGGGCAAGCGUUGUUCGGAAUUACUGGGCGUAAAGGGCUCGUAGGCGGCCAACUAAGUCGGAUGUGAAAUCCCCAGGCUCAACCUGGGAACUGCAUCCGAUACUGGAUGGCUUGAAUCCGGGAGAGGGAUGCAGAAUUCCAGGUGUAGCGGUGAAAUGCGUAGAUAUCUGGAGGAAUACCGGUGGCGAAGGCGGCAUCCUGGACCGGCAUUGACGCUGAGGAGCGAAAGCUAGGGGAGCAAACG
RNAcentral lists this ribosomal RNA (428 nucleotides) under uncultured bacterium. RNAcentral describes it as "bacterial SSU rRNA". It matches the Rfam family "Bacterial small subunit ribosomal RNA", at positions 355 to 774 of the family's 1533-position model. The record is from RNAcentral.